CGACGAGGAUGGGAUUCGAAACCACGCGGGUAAAGCCCAAUGGAUUAGCAGCCCAUAGCCUUAACCACUCGGCCACCUCGUC
Molecule: transfer RNA, 82 nt
Filed under: Araneus ventricosus
Lineage: Eukaryota; Metazoa; Arthropoda; Arachnida; Araneae; Araneidae
Description: tRNA-Ser
Source: RNAcentral